Gorilla gorilla gorilla (western lowland gorilla) is the source of this 108-nucleotide small nuclear RNA. The record is from Ensembl. NCBI's taxonomy places the organism in Eukaryota, Metazoa, Chordata, Mammalia, Primates, Hominidae.
GUGCUCACUUUGGCAACACAAAUACUAAAAUUGGAAUGCUACAGAGAAGAUUAGCAUGGCCCCUGUGCAAGGAUGACACACAAAUAGUGAUAUUGUCCUCCAAUUAAU